UGUAGAUUAUCAGAAACUUCCUGCAUGUCAUCACUUAGCAUAUUUACUGCAGACUGUUUGGACGCAGAGGACGACACAUCAGACGCUGGUGUAGUGAACUCAUUCAGGUGUUGCAGCUUUCAAAGGUUUCAUUCUGAAGAAUGGAAGAAUACAGUAACAGCAGUGAUUACAGCAACGUUACCUCUGAACUAGAGACCUGGCAAAACUUCUUUGAAUCCAGAAACGUUACCUCUGAACUAGAGAUCUUCUGGAACAGCGUCUUUCACAGUUUCAUGGCAGUUAACCCUUUCCUACAUGUGGUGACAUAUGUGAUCGUCGGUGUCGGCCUUCCUUUGACCCUCGUGGCCAUCUAUGCUCUUUAUUCUCAGGUGAGAAAUGGUCAAGUUGCUCCGAUCUACGUCAUCAACCUUCUCAUCUCUGACAUCAUUCAGUUCUGCUGCAUGAUCG
Larimichthys crocea (large yellow croaker) is the source of this 447-nucleotide long non-coding RNA. RefSeq lists it as uncharacterized. NCBI's taxonomy places the organism in Eukaryota, Metazoa, Chordata, Actinopteri, Sciaenidae. The record is from RefSeq and is a predicted model, not a curated record. The transcript is spliced from 3 exons.